RNAcentral lists this long non-coding RNA (1070 nucleotides) under Felis catus (domestic cat). Its description in RNAcentral is "lncRNA (ENSFCAG00000051914.1)". Lineage: Eukaryota; Metazoa; Chordata; Mammalia; Carnivora; Felidae. The record is from RNAcentral.
GCACUAAAGAGCUAUGAGCCGGCUUGCAAAUGCCGUGCUUUAAGCGGUCCUAAAGGCCUUCAUGAUAUCUUGCUGCCUUGCCCCCCCCCCCCCCCCCGAGCUACAAGUCUAACACCCUUUUCGUUCUUUCCCGUUCUUUUUCCUUCCUUCUCCUUCAACUACGAUACAAGACCAUUCUCAUCUCUCCGGGAUCUGGCCCCUUACGGCUGCCAGGCCGCCGAGGAGGUCUUGUUGACCCAGUACGCGCCUCCGCAGCUUCCCUGCCUCCUCUUUGCGGCUCCCUUUUCCCUCCACCUGCUGUGGGUCCCCGGCCCACGCCGACCCCCCACCCACCGCACUGAGCACGUACGCAGCGGAGCCGAGCUGAGCGCCGGAAGCUCGAGCCGGCGGGUGGCGCGCGGUUCGUCUUUCCCGUUGCUGCCGCUGCGGAUGCUGCUCAAUCAACUGGAUGGUUACAUCCUGCCUGUGGCUAUUCCUAGUGGAGUUUCCGUUAUGACGCUGAUAUACAAUUGAGUCUACAAAGAAAUUUACUAAGUAGAAGCUGUAAAUCAAAUCAUGGAAACUCUUCGGUAAUCGGUGAUAAAGGUACAUGGCUGUGGCCAACUAUGAAAGUGCUGUGUUCCUUAAUGAGCUUUGAGAAGCAUGAUUUUUGUCUCAUUUUUAUGCGAUCUCCUCCGUCCCCCUUGUCACUGCAGGCGCACUCCCUCCUGCCCUGAGGCAUUAAGUAGGUGGGAGGGCCUCAGCUGUCUGCUCCACACUUUGAACAUAAAAGGCACACUUGACGGGAUUUGUUUUCUUUUGUUUUUGUUUUUGUUUUUGUUUUUGUUUGUUUUGGGGAGCCUCUCUAGGGAACUUCCUUGUUCAGACCAUUAAAAAGAAUCAAGAUUUAGUAAAUACUUCCGUUGGGAGAUGUGAUUGCAUCAUCCCGGGAGCCAUGGAGUCUGUUUCUGGGGAGGACUAAAUCGUUUUGUUCUUUCUCUUCUUCAUUCCGUCCAUUAGUUGCCAGUGUUAAGUAGGCCUUCCUUUUAACCUUCUCUUUCUUUUCAACAUCAGGGAGGCUGAGCCAGGAG